CCUGCGGGUGGCAGCAGUGAGGAAUAUUGGUCAAUGGGCGUAAGCCUGAACCAGCCAAGUCGCGUGAGGGAUGAAGGUUCUAUGGUUCGUAAACCUCUUUUACAAGGGAAUAAAGUGUGGGACGUGUCCUAUUUUGUAUGUACCUUAUGAAUAAGGAUCGGCUAACUCCGUGCCAGCAGCCGCGGUAAUACGGAGGAUCCGAGCGUUAUCCGGAUUUAUGGGGUUUAAAGGGUGCGUAGGCGGCCUUUUAAGUCAGCGGUGAAAGUCUGUGGCUCAACCAUAGAAUUGCCGUUGAAACUGGGGGGCUUGAGUAUGUUUGAGGCAGGCGGAAUGCGUGGUGUAGCGGUGAAAUGCUUAGAUAUCACGCAGAACCCCGAUUGCGAAGGCAGCCUGCCGAGCCAUGACUGACGCUGAUGCACGAAAGCGUGGGGAUCAAACAGGAUUAGAUACCCUAGUAGUC
This 460-nucleotide ribosomal RNA is filed under the name uncultured bacterium. Its description in RNAcentral is "partial 16S ribosomal RNA". It matches the Rfam family "Bacterial small subunit ribosomal RNA", at positions 338 to 795 of the family's 1533-position model. The record is from RNAcentral.